This 991-nucleotide long non-coding RNA is filed under the name Rattus norvegicus (Norway rat). RNAcentral describes it as "long non-coding RNA NONRATT026882". The record is from RNAcentral. Lineage: Eukaryota; Metazoa; Chordata; Mammalia; Rodentia; Muridae.
UCUUUUUCUGUUGCUUUGAAACUUUGAGUAUCUCAUUUAAGAGAAUGAGAGUUUAAAUAGGAGGAAAUCCAAAGCUAAAUUGUGAAUGAUUUGACUUUAUCUAAAUGUACUUCAGUUUAUUCACACAAUGAGAGUGACCUAAACACCUCUGUUUUUGUCAUAAGAUAGCAUUAAGAGCAUAUGCUAAGGAGUCAGGUAUGAGCUUCACGCUCUGGCUUAUUCCUGCGUGACCUUGGCAAGUCAGUUAAUCAGUGUAAACUCGAGAACAUUUACCUGUAGAAUUUGUGUAAUAGUAAGUCCCAAAUUCAUGGAGGUGACCAGAGGAUUAGUGUACAGAAAUAGUUUGUUUAUCUAGUACUUUUACCUCCACUACCUUGACUGCUAAUUAAUAUUCUUCAUAAGGUAAACUGCAGUGACAUUGUGAUGCAGUCACUUCUCUCCAGAGUGAGUGCACUCGGGGUUGGAUUGAGAUGAAGAAUUCAUUAGAUAUUUGUGUUUUAAAUGCUUGCAGAAGGAAUAUGAGGAUCUCCUUAGAGAGGUCAUAAUUCUCAUCAGCUGCUCUGAAUUCAUCCAUCUGCAGUAAAGAAAUACUAUACAGCUCUUAGCUGCUUAGUGUGGGAGGCUUGUGGAGUAGAAUCCACGCUACCAUGGUUGGAUCUUGUAAGCAAAGUGGUUCUUCUCUAGGAAUUAAAAGGAUCACUUGCUGGGUACAGCCCGGAAUGUUGGGAACCUGGGUAGGUGGGCAUUUCCCAGUCUUCUUCUCAGCGUUGGUAGGUCUUCCGGGGUUUGGGGAAGUGCUGUGCACGCCAUCCCUUUUAGGAUGCAGUCAGCACAGCGGCUGUCAACACCUCCCACAGCUGAGUGCACUGUGGGAAGCCGGCCUAGACUCAUCCAUACACACUGGAAAUGGACAGGAAGCAGGAGCUGUGAGGGGCAGCUGAACCAUUUUGGAUCUGUGUCAAUCUGAGAAAGUGAUUUAAGGCUGACUUCA